UACUUAAAUAGCUUAUUUAGAGCAUGAUAUUGAAGAUAUCAGGGAGAUAGUUAUAUCUUUGAGUAU
This 66-nucleotide transfer RNA is filed under the name Aeolesthes oenochrous. RNAcentral describes it as "tRNA-Phe". Lineage: Eukaryota; Metazoa; Arthropoda; Insecta; Coleoptera; Cerambycidae. The record is from RNAcentral.